GCCUUUAUUCCACUUUUUCCCCUUUUAUUCAAUUUUUUCCCCAUUUUUCCCCAUUAUUCCCUCUUUUCUCCCCUUUUCCCCCCAUUUUUCCUUUGUAUUUUUGCUUUUCCCCACCUCAUUUUCCCUUUUUCCUCUCCUUUUCCCCCUUCUGCUUUCUUCUAUUUUCCUCCUCUUUACCUUUUUUUCUUUUUGCCCUUUUUCCUCCUUUUUCUCCCCAUUUUUCCUUUCCCCCUUUCCCUCCUGUUUUUCCCCUUUUCCCCCCAUUUUAUCAUUUUCUCCCUCAAUUUUCUCCCUCAAUUUUCUCCCAUUUUCCCCCAAUUUUUUCCCAUUUUCCCCCUAUUUUCCCAUUUCCCCCAAUUUUCCCCAUUUCCCCAAUUUCCCAAUUUCCCAAUUUCCCCAAUUUCCCCAUUCCCCCUAUAUUUUCUCAUUCUCCCCAAUUUCCCCAUUUUCCCCAAUUUCCCCAAUUUUCCCCCUUUUUCCCCCAUUUUUCUUUCUCUCCUGGCGCCGCUCGGAACCAACCCAACAAAAACCCCCCAAAACGCCCCAAAACGCCCCAAAAGCAGCGAAAAUCCCGGGAAUUUUCCCCCCUCGGGCUCCGCCGCUCCUCGCUCUCCUGGGGCGCCAAGAAAUCCACAAAAACCGCGGGGUUUUGGUCCAUUUUAUUCCAUUUAUUUCCAUUUUUCCCCCCAAUUUCCCCCCUCCCGUUCCACCCAAUCCUCCGGACGGAAUUCCCGGGGCAUAAAUUCCAUUUUUUUUUUUGGUGUAAAAAAUCCUCUUUUCGAGGCAAAGCGGGGCUGCCCUUUGUGCUCGCUGCAAAAACAAAAACCCCCAACCCACCCCUGACCCUUUUUCCCCCUUUUCCCACCCAAAAUCCCCUUUUUUUUUUCCCAUUUUCCCCCUUUUCCAGCCCAUUUCUGAGCCCUCCGGCCUCGCUUUUUUUUUCAACAUUUAGCGGGCGAAACUCCUCAAAACCACCGAAACCACCCCAAAAUUUUGGUUCAUUUUUGGUUGUUUUUUUUUUUUUUUCCUGCUUGUUUUUCCCCAAAUGAUUUUUUU
This 1056-nucleotide long non-coding RNA is filed under the name Serinus canaria (Common canary). RNAcentral describes it as "lncRNA (ENSSCAG00000001958.1)". The record is from RNAcentral. Lineage: Eukaryota; Metazoa; Chordata; Aves; Passeriformes; Fringillidae.